This is a long non-coding RNA of Synchiropus splendidus (mandarinfish), 652 nucleotides long. RefSeq lists it as uncharacterized. The record is from RefSeq and is a predicted model, not a curated record. The transcript is spliced from 2 exons. NCBI's taxonomy places the organism in Eukaryota, Metazoa, Chordata, Actinopteri, Syngnathiformes, Callionymidae.
UUUAUGUUCAGAUGGGAGACAUCUGAAUAUAUAGAUAUUGUUGGGCCCAUAAUACUGGAAACAGCGUGAAUUAUUUGUGGCAUAAAUAUAAUGAUGUAUCAACCGGAAGUGGAUCAUCCUGCCGCGUCGCGAUGGAAGGUCACGUAAAACGCGCAUGGUGAAAACUUUCGUUUUAUUUUGUAUGAAAAUAAACGAGUCAACACAAUGAGUCAACACAAACUUUCCGCAAGGAAGCGACUUACGAAGCCAAUUCUUUUCGGAACACUGAUAGUUGGACUAGCUACUGCUUUCUUCAACAGGCACCGGUUCUUGGAGGACUUGGAGGACAUAAAAGCUGAGGAGCGGGCCAAGAACUAUGCCCGGAAGAUGGAGAUCUUGGAGAGGAGGCACAAACAGAUCCAGGAGGCUGAGGAGAAGCGGAGAAGUGGGAGUGGCUGAGAAGCAGGAGCCCGUGGGGGCUUGGAUGUUGGGCUCCUACCCAGCAGUUGACUUGGAUUUAAACCAUCACCCAGGACUAGGCAAUGAAGGCCACAAUUAAACGAUCACGCUCAACUUUGUUUGAAACAUCUGGAGCAUUCUAGUGCUCUAGUUGAGACCUUGUUGAUGUUGGCAUGUGCUUGUAUUCAAGACAAACAAGAAUGUAUCGAUUUCA